UACAGAGGGUGCGAGCGUUGUCCGGAAUCACUGGGCGUAAAGGGCGCGUAGGCGGCCUGAUAAGUAGGGGGUGAAAUCCUGUGGCUUAACUGCAGGGCUACCUCCUAGACUGUUAGGCUCGAGCACGGUAGAGGCAGAUGGAAUUCCCGGUGUAGCGGUGGAAUGCGUAGAGAUCGGGAAGAACAUCGGUGGCGAAGGCGGUCUGCUGGGCCGUUGCUGACGCUGAGGCGCGACAGCGUGGGGAGCAAACAGG
Molecule: ribosomal RNA, 253 nt
Filed under: uncultured bacterium
Lineage: Bacteria
Description: partial 16S ribosomal RNA
Rfam family: Bacterial small subunit ribosomal RNA
Source: RNAcentral